CUAACAACUAGAUAGCCCUGUUCAAGAUUAUCGCAUACAUAAGAAUUUACCCAGAGUCGGCAAAAAAUGAAUGUUCAGCUUCAAACUUAACAUUCAUACUUUUGGAUCAUUUUAAACAUUACUGGUACUCACGCUGGUGAUUCACAAAGAUGUUUAAAAUGAGGUUUGAAAAUUAUUUAUUAAAAACUGAAGCGGCCACAUAAGUUGGUCAAAAAAUUAAUGGAAAAUUAUAAAGAUGUAAAGUAAAAGUUUUAGAAUGUCAUUUUAUCCUUUCUCAACUUCUACAAAUAUUAACACAAGAGGAUCAUUGAAACUUCCUAAUGGUUAAUCAAAGAAUAUCAAGGAAAAAUGAAGUAGUUAUUGAAUGGAGAUAUAAUACUUACAAAGAGUUAUUGCGAUAUGGUUAUUGAAUGAAGAUAUAAUACUUACAAAGAGUUAUUGCAAUAUGAUUACUGAAUGAAGAUAUAAUACUUACAAAAAGUUAUUGCGAUAUGGUUAGUAUUAUUAUUACUUCCGUAUAAGAUUUGUAUUAAGAAUUUUAAUAUAUAUGAUGAUUUGAUCACUCACAUAUGAGUUCAUGAUUAUUCAUUACAUGCACUACCAACUGAAUUUUUAAACCUAAAUGUUCAAACUUAAUAUGUUUAAGACAUGUAUUUUAUAAUAUUUUUCAUAUUUUAGAUGAGAAGAUAAUCCACUAAAGCAGUAUUAUCUAAUUUGUACUUUUAACAAGAAAGUAACUGUACAUAUAAUAAAUACUAUUUUUUAAAAUAUA
Bombus terrestris (buff-tailed bumblebee) is the source of this 772-nucleotide long non-coding RNA. RefSeq lists it as uncharacterized. NCBI's taxonomy places the organism in Eukaryota, Metazoa, Arthropoda, Insecta, Hymenoptera, Apidae. The record is from RefSeq and is a predicted model, not a curated record. The transcript has 6 exons.